CACGGGGGUUGCGAGCGUUGUCCGGAAUUACUGGGCGUAAAGCGCACGCAGGCGGAAUUGUAAGUCCGUUGUAAAAUUCAGAGGCUCAACCUCUGUCUGUCGGCGGAUACUGCAAAUCUAGAGUAUGUGAGAGGGAAGUGGAAUUCCUGGUGUAGCGGUGAAAUGCGUAGAUAUCAGGAGGAACUCCGGUGGCGAAGGCGACUUCCUGGCACAAGACUGACGCUCAUGUGCGAAAGCUAGGGUAGCGAACGGGAUUAGAUACCCU
Molecule: ribosomal RNA, 265 nt
Filed under: uncultured prokaryote
Description: partial 16S ribosomal RNA
Rfam family: Bacterial small subunit ribosomal RNA
Source: RNAcentral